ACUAAGCGUACAAGGUGGAUGCCUUGGCAAUCAGAGGCGAAGAAGGACGUGCUAAUCUGCGAAAAGCUUGGAUGAGUCGAUAAGAGGCGUUUAAUCCAAGAUAUCCGAAUGGGGAAACCCAGUAGAUGAAGAAUCUACUAUCAACAAGUGAAUUCAUAGCUUGUUGAGGCAAACCGGGAGAACUGAAACAUCUAAGUACCCCGAGGAAAAGAAAUCAACCGAGAUUUCGUCAGUAGCGGCGAGCGAAAGCGAAAGAGCCAGUAAGUGAUAGCAAUAUAGUGAGGAGAAUGUGUUGGGAAGCACAAUCAAAGAGGGUGAUAAUCCCGUAUCUAAAAACCAUAUUGUGGUACUAAGCUAACGAGAAGUAGGGCGGGACACGUGAUAUCCUGUUUGAAGAAGGGGGGCCCAUCCUCCAAGGCUAAAUACUCCUGAUUGACCGAUAGUGAACCAGUACUGUGAAGGAAAGGCGAAAAGAACCCCGGUGAGGGGAGUGAAAUAGAACCUGAAACCUUGUACGUACAAGCAGUGGGAGCGAGGGCAACCUUGUGACUGCGUACCUUUUGUAUAAUGGGUCAGCGACUUAUAUUUUGUAGCGAGGUUAACCGAAUAGGGGAGCCGAAGGGAAACCGAGUCUUAACUGGGCGAAUAGUUGCAAGGUAUAGACCCGAAACCCGGUGAUCUAGCCAUGGGCAGGUUGAAGGUUGGGUAACACUAACUGGAGGACCGAACCGACUAAUGUUGAAAAAUUAGCGGAUGACUUGUGGCUGGGGGUGAAAGGCCAAUCAAACCGGGAGAUAGCUGGUUCUCCCCGAAAUCUAUUUAGGUAGAGCCUUGAGGUGACACCUUUGGGGGUAGAGCACUGUUUCGGCUAGGGGGCCAUCCCGGCUUACCAACCCGAUGCAAACUACGAAUACCAAAGAGUGAUACUCAGGAGACACACGGCGGGUGCUAACGUCCGUCGUGGAGAGGGAAACAACCCAGACCGCCAGCUAAGGUCCCCAAGUCUAUAUUAAGUGGGAAACGAAGUGGGAAGGCUUAGACAGCUAGGAUGUUGGCUUAGAAGCAGCCAUCAUUUAAAGAAAGCGUAAUAGCUCACUAGUCGAGUCGGCCUGCGCGGAAGAUGUAACGGGGCUGAAAUAUAGCACCGAAGCUGCGGCAUCAGAAUUUAUUCUGUUGGGUAGGGGAGCGUUGUGUAAGCGGAAGAAGGUUCAUCGAGAGGUGGGCUGGACGUAUCACAAGUGCGAAUGCUGACAUAAGUAACGAUAAAACGGGUGAAAAACCCGUUCGCCGGAAGACCAAGGGUUCCUGUCCAACGUUAAUCGGGGCAGGGUGAGUCGGCUCCUAAGGCGAGGCUGAAAAGCGUAGUCGAUGGGAAACAGGUUAAUAUUCCUGUACUUGGUAAAGCUGCGAUGUGGGGACGGAGUAGGUUAGGUUAUCGCACUGUUGGAUAUGUGCGUUUAAGUUGGUAGGUGGGAAGUUUAGGCAAAUCCGGACUUCCUUAACACAGAGAGAUGAUGACGAGGCUCUACGGAGCUGAAGUAACUGAUACCACACUUCCAGGAAAAGCCACUAAGCGAAAGGCUUUACUAAACCGUACUGAAAACCGACACAGGUGGUCAGGUAGAGAAUACUCAGGCGCUUGAGAGAACUCGGGUGAAGGAACUAGGCAAAAUAGCACCGUAACUUCGGGAGAAGGUGCGCCGGCGUAGAUUGUAAGGGCUAGCCCCUGAAGGUUGAACCGGUCGAAGAUACCAGCUGGCUGCAACUGUUUAUUAAAAACACAGCACUCUGCAAACACGAAAGUGGACGUAUAGGGUGUGAUGCCUGCCCGGUGCUGGAAGGUUAAUUGAUGGUGUCAUCGAAAGAGAAGCACCUGAUCGAAGCCCCAGUAAACGGCGGCCGUAACUAUAACGGUCCUAAGGUAGCGAAAUUCCUUGUCGGGUAAGUUCCGACCUGCACGAAUGGCAUAAUGAUGGCCAGGCUGUCUCCACCCGAGACUCAGUGAAAUUGAAAUCGCCGUGAAGAUGCGGUGUACCCGCGGCUAGACGGAAAGACCCCGUGAACCUUUACUAUAGCUUGACACUGAACAUUGAAUUUUGAUGUGUAGGAUAGGUGGGAGCCUUUGAAGCAGUGACGCCAGUCAUUGUGGAGGCGACCUUGAAAUACCACCCUUUAACGUUUGAUGUUCUAACGAAGAUGACGAAACGUGGUCUCGGACAGUGUCUGGUGGGUAGUUUGACUGGGGCGGUCUCCUCCCAAAGCGUAACGGAGGAGCACGAAGGUUUGCUAAUCACGGUCGGACAUCGUGAGGUUAGUGCAAUGGUAUAAGCAAGCUUAACUGCGAGACAGACAAGUCGAGCAGGUACGAAAGUAGGUCAUAGUGAUCCGGUGGUUCUGAAUGGAAGGGCCAUCGCUCAACGGAUAAAAGGUACUCCGGGGAUAACAGGCUGAUACCGCCCAAGAGUUCAUAUCGACGGCGGUGUUUGGCACCUCGAUGUCGGCUCAUCACAUCCUGGGGCUGAAGUAGGUCCCAAGGGUAUGGCUGUUCGCCAUUUAAAGUGGUACGCGAGCUGGGUUUAGAACGUCGUGAGACAGUUCGGUCCCUAUCUGCCGUGGGCGUAGGAUGAUUGAUUGGGGCUGCUCCUAGUACGAGAGGACCGGAGUGGACGCAUCACUGGUGUUCCGGUUGUGUCGCCAGACGCAUUGCCGGGUAGCUAAAUGCGGAAGAGAUAAAGUGCUGAAAGCAUCUAAGCACGAAACUUGCCAAGAGAUGAGUCAUCCCUGACUUUAAGUCAGUAAGGGUUGUUGUAGACUACGACGUAGAUAGGUUGGGUGUGUAAGUGAUGUGAGUCAUUGAGCUAACCAAUACUAAUUGCCCGAGAGGCUUAACU
RNAcentral lists this ribosomal RNA (2891 nucleotides) under Haemophilus influenzae. Its description in RNAcentral is "bacterial LSU rRNA". It matches the Rfam family "Bacterial large subunit ribosomal RNA". RNAcentral also lists the same sequence under 1 other name. Lineage: Bacteria; Pseudomonadati; Pseudomonadota; Gammaproteobacteria; Pasteurellales; Pasteurellaceae. The record is from RNAcentral.